RNAcentral lists this unclassified non-coding RNA (350 nucleotides) under Melaleuca brevifolia. Lineage: Eukaryota; Viridiplantae; Streptophyta; Magnoliopsida; Myrtales; Myrtaceae. The record is from RNAcentral.
CAUUUUCGUUUUUUUUAUCCUCAAGGAUAAUUUCGGCCCAGGGUGUUGGCCUCGAAACGAGCUUUCCGAAAAGUACUCACGGGCCCCGUGAAUCCAUCGGGAUCAAAAGUUAGGCACGUGAACGUAGAGACGGGCGAAAUACGUUUGCCGAGCAAUUUUUAUUUUCGUGUUUCGUCGUAUGUAAGUAGUAUUGCGUUAAUUGAGUCGGGCUCGGGAAAUUGCGUUAAUUUAGUUGGGCUCGGGAAAUUGCGUUAAUUGAUUGGCUUAAAAGUCCGAAGUUGAACACCCUAGACUUCUCUCGAGAAGAGAAACUAAGUCGCUUUAAGUAAAUUUUGAAUGCAUAACAUGAC